RNAcentral lists this long non-coding RNA (41570 nucleotides) under Physcomitrium patens. RNAcentral describes it as "long non-coding RNA (PPAT_LNC011640)". The record is from RNAcentral. Lineage: Eukaryota; Viridiplantae; Streptophyta; Bryopsida; Funariales; Funariaceae.
AAGCUUUUUCUUGACAAUAUCUAUCGCUAUCAUGGAUUUUCCAAGGAUAUUAUAUCAGAUAGGAGAACUCAAUUUGUAUCAAGAUUUUGACAAACUCUUUUCAAGAUUCUAAAAGUGGAUAUAAAACUAUCUUUGGCAUUCCAUCUUCAAACUAAUGGACAAAGAAAGUAUGUUAAUCAAGUUUUGGAGCAAUAUUUAAGAUGUACCAUCAACUACCAACAAGAUGAUUGAGUAACUCUUUUGCCAUUAACAGAGUUUGCUUACAAUAAUAUAGUACAUUCUGAUACAAAAUAAACACCUUUCUUUGCUAAUUAUGGUUAUCAUCCAUGACUUGAUACUUUUGACUCUUCAAAAGUUGAUAAUCUUGCUGCGAAAUAUUUGGCGAUUCAUUUGUCAGAGCUACAUGCAACGAUGAAGGUGCAGUUAAAAGAGGCUCAAGAACAACGAAAGGUCAAUGCGGAUGUCUAUCGAAAGGAACAACCACCAUUCCACUUGGGUGAUAAGGUAUGGCUACUUUGUCAUAAUAUCAAGACCACUCGUCCUUGUGACAAGUUGGACUAUCGAAGGCUAGGACCAUUUUCUAUUUUUACAUAAAUCAAUCCAGUUGCAUAUCGUUUACAUCUACCGGAGUCAAUGAAAAUCCAUCCAAUAUUCUACGUGUAUCUUUUUGAACCAUAUAAGUCAGUAGACAUACCAAGAAGAUGACAAGCUCCACCUCCUCCUAUAGAAGUGGACAAUAAUGAAGAGUUUGAAAUAGAAAAAGUCUUAAAUUCAAGGCGGCACCAAAAUAAAUUGGAAUAUCUUAUCAAUUGGCAUGGAUAUGAUAUUAGUGAACACACAUGGGAUCUUGCAAAUGCAGUAAAGAAUCUUGCAAAUGCAGCAAAGGCGAUUGAGGCUUUUCAUUGACAACAUCUAUCAAAAUCAAGAUAAAAAUCUUCUUUAUAAAAGAAACAACAUCUAGGCAAGAUAAAAUUCUACUUUCAAUCAUUGUUUAUAACUUCUUUGUAGUUGUGACGCUGAGGAGAUAGAGAACCAACAAUCAGCAGAUUCGACUAAAUAGCCUUCAUUUACUGACCUGUCGAAUGAGACAUUAUGAUUGUCACAACCUUUAAGACGAUGCAAUCAAGAUGAAGAUCUUCAAGAACAACAUGUUCUUCCUCGAAUAGAUGACAAGAUACAAUACGUUUGAUAUCACGACUUGGGAAGAGACUCCCAAUGUUUGGUGAUUUUACUAGAGGUAGGAACAACUCUUGAUGGUGUUCCAAAUGUUCUAUUCUAAGGAAGUUAUGAAGGCCUCAACAAUGAUCAAAUAACUAGGUGGUCUUUCCGCCCUGAUAUGGGACACUACCGAUGGUUGAGAGGCCCUAUCAAUCAUCUUCAAAGAGAACAAAGAUUAGAGUAUGUGGCGAAUACAAUUCGUCAUAUCAUAGAUUUUCACAACAUAUGAUGACCGCUCCUCGUGGAACUCGUCCCUAGAAGGGGGGAUAAUGUCACGGACAUACUCAUAAAUUACAUAUACAAAUAUGUAGAAGUAAAUAAAAGUAGAUAAAAGUAAGUUAAUUUUAUAGUAUUUAAUAUGGAAGCUUUCUAGAAGCUUCAUAGACACUACUUUGACUUCAUAGGUGUCUUUAAUUGACUUUUUGGAUUAGAAACGUGGUCAACAAGUUGGCCAUAUACCACACAUAUUGUUAGCUUAAAGACCAAGCUAAUUAUGUGGUCCACACAUAGAAAAACUUGCCUUGUAAGUCAAGGCAUAUGUCCUAUAAAGUCAACACAUAUUGGAGGUCCUAUAGAAUGUUGCCAUGUAGCCCCUAGUUAGAUAGUAUAUAUAGAGAUAAGAGUGAAGCCUUCUUCACUCUUGUCAACUCCUUUCUUGCUUCCAGUCUAGUUUCAAGGGUCUCUAAUUUUCUUGUCUUUUGGUAAUAGCCAUUCCAGUUUCUCUUUCAAUAUACAUACUUGUUUAUUUAUAUUUUAUUACCUUUCUUUGAGUGAAGGCUCACUUGUUUGAAUUGAUUUUUUAUCGAUUUCUUGUCCUUGACAGAUACAUAAAUCUCAUUCUUGAAAUAGAGGAAGCCAUUAUUAAGAGUGUAAUCUUGGUACUGUUUAUUGUCCAUCAUCAACCAAUUACUAACCAUCUUGAAAUAAUCAUCUCAAUGCAUAGAUUUCUUCCAUACUAUUUUUUUUUGUUAGGUUUGAGAUGACACUACUAAUGGUAGUGAUUUUUCCCUUCUCUCCUAAUUUAGUAUUUAAGUCUGAUCUCUAUGAUAAGUUGUUUGGUACAAUAUGUUGUCGCUCUUACUUACACUGAAGUUGAAUGUCAAAAAGCUGCAAUUGUUCUUUCUAAUGAUGAUUUCUUGAUUUCAUAUUUUUCAAAUAUAAAUCAUGUAGCAAGGAUCAAUGGUCAAUCCAAACAAUCAAUGGCUUCUUCAAUAGAUAGUAUUUCCAUACUUUUGUAGCAUGUACAAUUACUAAUUGAACUUGAUCACAUGUAGAGUAGUUAAGCUUUGCCCUUCUGAGUUUGCAUGAUUCAUACAUCACAAAUUGAAGGCCCCUACUAAAGUCUUAAUGAAGGACCGCUCUAAUAGCAAAGUCAAAAGCAUCAAUGUCAAGUGUAUAGAAAAGGUUGAGAUCAUACAAUUGCAAUAUUGGAGUAAUAAUGAGUACCUUUCUUAACAUAUCAAAGGUACUUUGCUAUUCCAAUUUCCAUUCAAAUGGAGCACCCUUCUCUAAUAGGCUUGUUAAUGAGGUAGUAAUAUGUACAAAUCGAUGAACAAAACAGCGAUAAUAUUCGACAAGGCCUAAAAAUGAAUGGACUUCAGAAGCAUUCGUAGAGAGUUGGUCAAUCUUCCACUGCUUUCACCUUAUCUUACUCCAUACACAUACCUUUGGAUGAAAUCACAUGCUCCAAAAAGGUGACUUCUAACUUCCAAAGUUCACACUUUGAUUGCUUAUAAUAGAAGCAACUAUCACAUAGUUGAUGCAGCACUUUCUGUAGAUGUUGUUCAUGCUCCUGAAGGAUUUUAUUAUAGACCAUGAUAUCAUCAAUGAAGACAAAAACAUACUUAUCUAAAAGGUCUCAAAAUAAUCUAUUCAUGUGAAUGAUAAAAGAAGUCCGAGCAUUGGUGAGGCCAAAAGGUAAUACAAGCCACUCAAAAUAUCCAUAGUGCAUACAAAAUGUUGUCUUUUCUAUAUUUUUCUUGGCAAGAAGGAUUUGCUAAUAACCAUUCUAAAGAUCUAAUUUGCUAAAGAUGUUUGCACCUUGAGGUUGGUCAAGAAAAUCAUCCACACAUAGAAGUGGAUAUACAUUCUUGAUAGUCUGCUUAUUCUGACCUCAAUAGUUAAUGUAAAGUCAAAGUCCACCAUCUUUUUUUGGUGCAAAGAAUAUAGGUGCUCUCCAUGGCAAUGUGCUUUCUCAAAUGAGACUUUUUUUCAAUAAUUCAUCCAAUGACUUUUGCAGCUCUUCAAGUUUAUUUGAUGUUAGUCAAUAAUUUGGACGACUAGCCGGUUUGGCCUCAAGUAUUAGUUCUAUUUGAAAGGAAGCACCUCAAUUAGAUGGUACACUACUAGAUAAGUUGGUUGAAAAGACAUUCAAAUAUUCACAUAUGAAUUAUUCUAUCCUUUCUGCUCUUUUGAUUGUCUUUUUUACCACUGAGGCAAGUUUCAAAACCACCACAUAUAUCAGUUGCUUAUUCUAUAUUUUCUUCUUUGUAAAGGUCAUUCUUAUGAAUAAGCUCUUAGCCGUAGAUUGUUUUCAUAUCUUACUCAACAUAGGGACACAAAGAGUCAUUCUACAUCCUCCAUCUUUGAAAGAGAUUAUUCUUGUUAGCCAAUCGAUCUAUUUAUUCUCCACCUCUAGUCAUGGCACUAAGGAUAACAUCAUAUCUAAGCUUUAUUAUUCUAAACUUCUUUUUGAAGGCAUAGGUAUCACUUAGCUUUAAGAUUUCUUCUUCACUUAUCUUGCUCAACAUGUUCUUUCAAUCAUUUGCUAGAUAUAUACUCCUUCCUUUAAUCACCUUUCUUUUAAUCCCUAGUCGGUUGGUUAUUGCAAUCAAGAUGUAAUUUUUUGUAGAGCCGCAAUCCACAAGUACUCAAAAUGGUUGUCUUUUUAAUUGUCCUGUUAGACACACUAAUUAAUUUUUUUGAUAUUUGUCCAAGGCCAUGUUAUUUGUCUCUAAAGAAUAGCAACUAUCUCCAAUAUUGGCCUUUGGUACUUUUAUUGAAGAGCCUCGUUUUCCUAUUCCACUUUUUUAACAACUUGGUAGCUUUUGACAUUGUAAACUAUCCAUAAUUUAUUGGUGCUUAAACUUUGAUAUUUUGAAUAGUCUCUAAUCUGAUGGUUUGGCUCCCAACAAUAAAAGCACAAUCUCUUUUUCAACAAUAAUUUUCAUUUUUGUGAUAUUAAUGGCCCUUGUAGAACAUUAAUCUCCAUCAACAUUGAUUAUUGUGCUAUAGUAUUAGCUAGUAGCAUAGAAUUCUACACUAUAGGUCAUAUUCUAUGAUUUUUGAAAUCUAUAGCAUAGACCCUCCUUACAAUCCUAAUUGCCUCUUUAAAUGUUUGUAGAUUUUUUAAUUCCACUUCUUUUUGGAUCACAAGUUUCAAUCCUCGUAUAAAUCAAUUCAUUAUCUCUGUCUUUGAAAUGUUGUCAAUUUGGAGACAUAGGAAAUUAAAUCAAGAGAUAUAAUAUUACACUAACCAAGAUUGUGUAAGGUUAGUCAACUGAUCAUGUGUUAAUAUUUCCGCAUUAAUGGUCCAAAAUCAACUCCUAUGUUCAAUCUCAAACUCCUUCCAAUCACCAAAUCUUUCUUGAGCUCCAUAGCUUUGAGGUCAAUGUCGCCACCAAAUGGUUGUUGUAUCUUUCAAAUGAUUGGAAGCAUGUAUAAUUCUUUUGUUGAUAUUUGUUCCAGAUAAUUGGAAGUAUUUUUGUAUGUUGAAGAGCCAUUGGCAUGCAUCUUCUUGCCUUGAGGUCGUUGAGUAUGUAUUAGGCUUGCUCAAUUUCAUCCUAACAAAUGUCAACUCUCUUAUCUUAGAAGCUUUUAUUUGCUCUUACAGAGUAGAUAUUUGGCCUAGGAGUUUGUAUUUGAGUCUUUAUCUGGGAUUGCUUUGCCAUAUCUCCUAUAUUGAAAUUUCUUUGCUCAACUUUGUUAUUAUAAUGCCUUCUCUCCUUCCAAUUGACUUCUUAAAGUAGCUCAUUGUAGCCCAAAAAUAGUACUCAAUGUGAUCACAAUAAUUGACUUCUAAUAAACAGUGGCUAUGAACUUACUACCAAAGAACAAUCUAACACUUGCUCUAAUAUCAAUGAAAUAAGAUUGGAUACAUUAAAGUUUAAAAUCUUAUCAAAUCCAUAAGAACAAAGAUUUCAACACAACGUAAGACCAAGUACAUUAAAACAAAACUAAAAGUAACUAAACGGAAUAGAACAUGAAAGAUAGGACUAAAUAAAAGAGAAUAAACCAAACAAAACCAAACAAAACCAAAUAGAAUAGAAUAAAAAAACCAAACUUUACUAAGAGAAAGAGUCUAAAAUCAUACUUGACCAACUGCCUCAAAUGGCCUUAGUUAGUCUUAUUUAUACUUUGUUCAAUUAUAUUAGAACUUUCUAGAAUGUCCCUAAUGAUGGAUCUUAUCAAAAUAACUGUCUUUUUAGAAGAUUCUUAAGAUGGAUCCUACCAUGAUAACCACCUUAAGCUUUUCUAAAAGAUUCUAUGGUGGAUCAUAUAUAAACCACUAUUCUAACUUCAAUUCUAAAAGCUUCUCAAAAACAACUCCAAUUACAUAUCUUAAUCUGCAAAUAAUACAACCAUCCUAUCCAUGCCUUGUUACAAUAUUAAUAUGUAGUAUUUAAAUUAAAUAUUUUAUUCUUUGACAUUAAAUAGUACUAAGAUUUUUUUUUUAAAGAAUAUCUCAUUAAGUAUCUUCAUAUGAAUUUUGAUGAAUCUACUUUUUAUAAUUUUUAAAGAUUUUUUCUUUAAUCUAAAUUUUUCAAGUUUUUAUUUGACAUUAAUCAUAUUUUUUUAAUCAAAAUUUGUAUUGAUAUUUCUUAAGUAUUAUCUCUCUAUAUAUAAAAUCUCUCUCUCUUUCUCUCUCUUUCUAUAUAUAUAUAUAUAUAUAUAUAUAUAUAUAUGACACAUUAUAAGAGUAAACAUUCUGGAAACUAUUAAGUGUGUAGAAUAGUUAAGCAUCAUGUUUAAAAUAUGAUUUAAUAUUAAAAAUUUAUUAGUUAAGCAAAUAAUAUGAUAAAGUUUAUUUUUUUAAUCUAUUGAUAAAUUAAAUAAAUUAAAAUUAUAGCCCUAGUUGAAGAAUAAGAAUAUAUUUUUUAAAUUUAUUCAUGUAUCUUCUAUAUAUAUAUAUUAAAAUUUUAUCUAUGUUUAAUAUAGUAUAAAUGUAAUUUUUUUAUCCAAAAAAAUAGAUGUAUUCUUAUUGUAUAAUAAAAUCUUCUAGCUUAGAAUAUAAAAAUAUAUCAAAUUUAAAAUUUAUAUUAUAAAAUAAUCUUAAAUACAUGAAUGUGUUUUUUUUUUAUUACUCUAUAUAUUUUAAUAUUUGCAUUUCUAUAAAUUUAUUUUUUUGUAAUUUUUAAAAAAAAAUCCUAGUUUUAUCCUGUUGUUUGGAGUAAUGGAUUCCCGGGCAAAGGUUCAUCAUGUCUAUUCCAAACAAUGCGCCAUAUAGUACCUGAUUUUGGAGAUUCUACCAAAGAAAAACCUUUAAACCUAAAUGGAAUAAAUGUCAACACAUCACUUAAUACAAUUUUUACAUCUCUAGCUAAUGGAAGUGUGUGAGAAUUAACAACUUUUUUAGAAUUAGCCAUACGUAAAGUUUUAGUACUAAUACCAACCCAUGCCUUACCAUGUGUGUCUAAUUCUACAUGAGAAGGAUGUCGAAAAUUAGUAUGCAACCAAAAAAUCCAAUCUUUUGCAUUAGGCCAUGGUUGAAUUUGACUACUUCCACCACGUGCAUGCAUUGUACUAUCAAUCCAACUGUAUACUCGUUGAAUUUCAUCUUGUGUCAGCAACCCUUCUUUCCAAUCUUUAAGAAUAUCAUGUACACCUUUUGGUAGGGAAUUUGUAAAAUUGCUCUUUUCUUCCUUUACCACAUUCUCCUCCUGAUAAAAAAAUGUAUAAAAUCACAUGUUUAAAUAUUUUAAAAGAUUCAACACAAUCACUCCAACCAUAUGCAUUUCAUAUAAAAAUUCGAGUGUUUGAUACCUUUACAGCAAUAGCAAAAUUCUCCGUAUGAUCAAAGGCCUCCAUGUCAUGAAAGCUUUGUACACAUGAUGUUUUCGAAUCUAGAAUCGAAUUGUCAACGCCACCGACACAACCACCGACACCCUCGCCGACACAAUCAUCGAUACGGAGCGCCUUGUGUUUUUGCAACAAAGAAGGCACCACCGCGUCGGAGACGACGACGACGACACCCGCAUCCUCAUCGCCAUCGCCGCUCCUCGAGCUCUCUCCUGGGAAGCACACCGCCAUCGCAGCCCCAACCCCACCAUCUGAGCUUGCGACCGACAAGGGCGACGACGCACCGAGCGGCGAAUGGACGCCGUCACCGUCGUCGUGGUCGUCGUCGUCGUUGGGAAGAGGCUGGAAAUUCGAUAAGCGUGCUUCGAGCAAGUGGAGGUAGCGGUGCUGGUGAUUGAUGUCAGCGAGCUUGGCCUGGGCCAUGAGGAGGCCUUUCUUCAUGUAAAUGGCCUUGCGCUUGGUGAGGCGCAGCUCCUCGGUGCAGCGUCGCAGGUGCUGCACUUCAUGCUUCUGCUGUGCGGAGAGCGGUGCGCCGUGUCGAAGCGCAUCCUGGAGGGAGUCCAGCCUCUGGGUUUCGGUGCUGUUAUGGGAUUCCAUUUCGUCCAGCAGGCUCCGGUAAUGCAGAAUGCUUCGCUGCAUGACUGUGGGUGGGAUCUUCGCGAUGAAUGUGCGACAGGUGGGUGAUCCGCACAAGCAUAACUCGGCGUAUUUUGCGUCGUCGGUGUAUGUCCAACUGAGACCAAAUUUGUAUGUUUACUAAGAUAUUCAUAUACUUACAUGAUACUUAUAAGAAUAUCUCAAUUUUUGUUCUUGGGUCCAUGUUACAAAUUAUGAUAUGAUCUUGAAUCAUAUUUUAUAUGUGCGUGUAUAUACAAGUAAAGAUUUUGGUAUGAAGUUGAUGUUAUUUAUUUAUUUAUUUAUUUUCAUUUUAUUUUGUUUUGUUUUUUGACAGUCAGAAUUUAUGUUGGUUAAUACUAUGACUCGUUCAGGAUUUUAUUGUGGCUUACUUGUAGUCGUAUGUGAGGGUGUCUCCUUUGAAACAUAUCUUUUUUGACCUUCCAACAAUGUAGAUUUUUCCAUUUUGCCAUCUUCAAUGCAGAAUUUGUAGUUUUCAGCAUAUUGUUAAUUUGUGUUCAAAAGUUACGUGUGAGAGAGUAUCAAAAAUAUAUAACUACAUUUGUAAAAAUCAUAUAGCAAUUAGGUUGUACAUAUUAUUUUUAAUAUAUGCACAUUUUAUAUAUAUAUAUAUAUAUAUAUAUAUAACCCUUCAAAAAACAACAAAUGUUUGAACAGAACUUUAGAAAUUGAGGACUUGCAUACUAAACCAUACAUCAAUUAAAGUGCGACACUAUGCACAGUCAAUUACCACUUUCUAAAAUUUUGCAAAUGUUGGUCAAAUCAUCCACAAAAAGAAAAUAAGAAGACCAAUGCUAACAUUUCAAAUAUUUCUGUGUUGGGAUUGCAACCAUGGUUCACAAAGCCUGCAACUUCUUUGUAAGUAUCAACAACAAAACUUGGAACUCCAAACUUGCCAAUUCCUUUUGUGGCUUCUCCCUCCCACUUUUCAAUCAACGCGUAAAGAUUUGGAGGUUUUUCCUUGGAUUUCUUGAGAUAAUGCUUCAAUGAGGUCAUUUUCCCAGUGAAAACAUAAGCCAAGCAUCCAAUGUCAAUGUCUUCCUCCGUGUACAGCUCAUCUCCCGCAAUUCCAAGUCGAACAUCAAGUUGGGGCAAAUGGAGAAAUGUGUUGGGAAUGCAAAAUCCUUCGCAUGCGCAUUCGAUGUCACAAGUUUUGCGAAAGUGGUGGCAUGAGCACCCAUAUUGGCAUUGGAGUAAGGAAUUGACACUGGGAGGCUUGCAAUUACAAUGAUGAUUUUGCAUAGCGAGGUUCACCUCAGACGAUGCUGCAUUGUAUUGUUUUUUGCACGGUAAUUGUUCGUCAAAGCUUGCUUCCACAUCUUGAAUUUGUUGCAAGAUUUCUCUGUGUUGUGUGAUUUUUGCAGCUUUUGCCUUGAAAUUGAACAUGUUGGCAGGAUUCAUUGUGUAACCAAAACGAAUUCUCAAUUUCACUUCAAGAUUUAAACCUAAUAAUGAGAAUAAAGUUUAUUAAUAAAGAAAUUAUAUAUAUAUCUAUAUAUAUAUAUAUAUAUAUAUAUAUAUCUGUAGUAUGUUACCAAUAAUUUAUAUGGUGGAAGAUACAUAUGUGAUUUUAUUUUUUAUAUACUAUAUACAAAACAAGAAGAAGAAAAUAUGUAUGUAUAUUCGAAACAAGAAGAAGAAAAUAUGUAUGUAUAUUCGAAAUAAUAUAUGGAUGUAUUGUAAUGUAUCACUUUUCAUUUUCUACAUAUGAAAUAAUAUACACAAACUAUGAGUUUUAAUUUACAAAAAAAAUAUAUUGAACAUUUAUUUGGAUAUCAUUUAAUAGAAUUGAACCAUUUAAAACAUGAGAUUUGAUGCUGUAGAAUGCUACACUUGUUACACAUCUUCAUUGUUUGAAUACAGAACAUGUUCAUAAUGGCAGUGGUUUUGUUCAUGCUAAUCUAAGACAAUACAUUAUUAUAUAUCAUAUUCGCAACUGAACCAUAUAACGUUGAUUUACACAAAAUUUACCCAUUCUUGAAAUUGUUGCUAAACUUCUCUUGAAUUUUCAUCAUUAUAAAUUUGUUAUACCAAUUCACAAGUUUCCAAUAUAUGUAUAUAUAUAUAUUAAGGUCCUUUCCAUUAAGUUACAAUUUUUUGAAAGUUUUGGGGCAUCUCUACUUUUCAAGCUAUUUCCAUCAAUAUCAACGUAUAACAAGAAAAUCAAGGUUUGACGGCUGGUGACGGUGCACCACACAACCAAUCUUAUUGUACUUCACAUACAAAUCAGAUUUUGGAACACAGAAGAGUGCAAUUUAGUGCUAUUAAUCAGAGUACAGUCCCUUGUGAAAAUGCAACACAAUAAAUGUCUUAUGUUCAAAUAAAUUCCCGCAAUCUUUCUGUACAAGGACACAGCUACCUCAGAAUGAAAAAGCUACCAGAUGGAACCAAACUUUCCCCGGCAAAAGCACAACGCCAUUUUUACACCCCAAUUCUGCACAGAUUCUGAAGGGCUCAAUAAUCCAAUACAGCGGCACACCAGCAAUGCAAAAAAAAUCUUGUACGCUGAACUCAGAUUUCAAAUCAGCCAAGCAUACAAGAAUGAGAUUGUUAGGUUUGCAUUUGUACCCAAGGAAAAGGCAGAGCCUGUACCACAAUCCCCAUUGAAAGUUGACAAAAACUUAUUGUCAAUCAAACUUAGGUAUACAACUCAGGUAAGCUAAAUAAACAUGAUGUAAGAGACAAGAAGGCAACGGAUUCCAUCUUAAGCUUCAUGAAUAACAAUAAGAGAAUGCUCUACAAUAUAAUAUCUUGCAACUUGCCACGGUGACCAAGUGCAAUAUUUUAGAAGUUAUCACUCGUCUCGCUAAACGUAGGCCUCUACUUUGCAGAUGCAUUUUUGGGGGUAUAGCAAAAACCACAGUUCUUUGCUCUUUUUCAUGCUGACUGGAAAUCUGGCAUCAGAAAAUGCUUUACAACCCUGUUGCGAGUGCCAUGCACGCCCACUUCUCCUCCCUUAGGUCCACCGCUAAAACAGGUCUUAAAAAAUGUGUACAAUGUCAUAUGCAAAUCUGUUGAACGUUAAGGUAUACGCAUGAAAUGGAUGCACGAUUGUUGUGCCACUGAUUCCGAAACAAGCAUUAAAUAACAGAGAGUAAUUCAACCGGUUUUUCAAACUCUACGCAGCAUGCACAAGAAAAGGAAUACUCAACACUUAGUAGCUAAAUAUGAGAGACCUACAGAAACUCGUAGACAACCCAGUCGAAGCAUAACCCAGGAAAAAACAACCAAAAUAUUAAAAGACUUGCAAAGGAUACGUCCAGAAUAGAAUGAAUGACUGUCCCAGCCAACCCACCACACCAUUUAACAGUCAGUAAGUGUACUUGUGCGUGCAUUUAGUAUAAAGCAACUAACUACAGAUAAAUUGGUACACAAUGGAUCAGAAUGGAAUUCAUAUUUGAUGCUACCAAUCCCACUACAUUUUCACACGAAUAUGUAGACAUCAGUGAGACAUACAACUUAAGAAUCCAAACAUAGGGUUGCCCAUGAAAAUGAAUGGAAAGGAUUUAAAAUCUCACUAGCAAGCCUUGCCCAAUGCCAUCAAAGAGAAUGCGGUUCCAUGAAUCGAAGUACGAGUGCACAUCAAACUUUGCUUUGGCAGCAACUCCAACCGAUGCAAGCAUCAUAAUCAAAAAGUAGCAUAGGAAACCAGAAAUUCCAGUCAACCCAAGCACUCCUGCAAUAACACCUCCCACGAUGGACAAAAACGUGCGGCUGCAUCCCAACCACGCAAACCAUACAAAUUUCAGAUCUUACAAACCCUAGAGAGGAAUUUCGUACGAACACGAUAGAGCCACAGUCAAAAUAGAAAGCGGAGGGUCUCUCAUAAGAUACCUAUAGUAGAUCAUGCGCAUGUUAAGCUGAACAUUCUCCUGACUGUAAGCCGGAACCUCGUCGGCAUCAUCGACCUUCUUAGUCUGAUCUUUGGCAUUGCCUGUACAGAACGAACAACCUCAUUCAACUACCACCACGCACUGUCCGCGAAACAAACACCCCUAAACGGAACCAAACAUAGAGGAAAUCUGACUUCCUGCUCAACGGCUUGCCAUCACAACUUCAAUAACUCAACUGCCAAUUCAUUUCGCUUAAGAUUUCUAACGCUCCGGUUGUCUUUCAAUGCAACAGGUGGAAAUCCUAAAACCCUAGAAUCGAUCUCUUCGUUUGAUCGAUGCAGAAUUGCGAUCUUCCGGGAAAAAAUUUAAGAACAAGGCCGAAGUCGAAGAGAAGCAAAAUCGGCUGAUCGGGAAAGAGAGAGGAGAGGGAAGGUUACUGGUUCGUGACACCACUGCCGAUCGCGGAGUCGGCGCCAUGGCUCUGCAGCUUCUUCUUCGAUUUCCCUGUUUCAAUGCAAAAAACUCCGUCGUGCUCAAGGCCACCCUGCUGCUUGGCUCCGAAACCCAUUCUGCGGAGGUACGGACCCGACGAACGAAGCCCAUCGACAGACGAACGGACGAAUGUAGCUUCUUCCAACGAACUGAGGAGGAUGGCGGACGAAGUGGCUUUCGACGAACUCAGCAGGACAACGGACGAAGCCUCCUCUGACGAGCUUCGUUGGACGAGUUGGCGUUGGACUAAGAUCUGGUUCAAGGUUGUGGUGGAGAGUGUGAUCAAUUAACAUUACAAUUAUACAUGGGGCUUGUUAUUUUAAUUCUUUGUCGAUGAUUACUUGAGGAAGAUUCAAAUGUGCACCUUCAAAGUAAGAAGAGAAUGUUUUACAAGAUUUGACAAAUUGAAGGAACUUCUAAAGGAAUCUUACCAUUACAUCAAGGAAAUAAGUUUGAGAAAUGUAGAUGAGUUUAUGAUUUUGCAAUUUGGUGAUUUUUAUAGAAGAUUAUAUAAGUGUUAGAGAAUAUCAAUAUUUUAAAAAUAUGGAUAGCAAAGCAUGAAAAAAAUAUUGUUACAAAGAUAACAAUAAAUAUUUUACAAACUUAAAAUUUUGAUUAUAAAGUUUGCAUAAAAAUAGUAGUAAAAUUAAUUUACACGUUUAAUUAGUAUUUUUUUAAAAUUUCUAUGUAAUUUCAACUAUAAAAUAAAUAUAAAUAAAUAAAUAAAUAUUGUAUAAGUGAAAAUCUUUGAGUAUAUUAUAUGCACAAAAGAGUGCAUACAAAAGAGCCUCAGUAUUAUGGAAAAACAAAUUUGCUAUAUAAUUAAAAAAAUAUUUAUAUUCAAAUUAUUGUAAGAGAAAUAAAACUUAUAUGUUGAUGCGUUUAGACCAAAAAAUUAAUUAACUAUAUGUAUAUAUAUAUAUAUAUAUAUAUAUUAUAUACAAUAAAAAAAUAAAGAAGUUGCACGUAAAAAUUGUGCAAAGUAAGAAAAUAUCUCAAUGCUAAUGUGUUUUACUUAUAUAGGAGGAAAUACAUUGAUAUUGUUUUAUUUGGUUUUAUUUAAAUAUAAGAUGUUUCUAAGUUGAUCAUGCUAAAGCUGUAGCUAUCUCUUGUUUUAGUUUUUAGAUAGAUGGAUUUAUGUUUAUAUAUAUAUAUAUAUAUAUAUAUAUACAUAUACAUAUUAGUAAACCUAUCUUAUAAAUACCACUAGAUGUUAAUCAAAUGGAAUUUUUAAUAUUAAUUGAUGAUUAAUAAUAAUUUAUAAUUUCAACUUUAAAAGUAAUUUAAGUUUUCUAAUAUUAUAAAAUUUUCUAACAAUUAACAUAUCUCUCUUUUCAAGUACUUUGUUGAGCAUAUUAACAACCAUGUCUUUUAAACAAUCGGAUUAUAUUUCUUUCAACAAAACUAUAAUUGUUUAUUUUAAAAAAAAAUAUUAAUAAAAUCCUUCUAAAAGUUAAUUUUGAUUACUUCAAAAAUCAAAAACCUUUAAAUGAUUCAUGAGUGACUUUACUUAUUUUAAAGUAAUUCGUAAAACAUAACUUGGUGUGUAAAGAAGUUAUUAAAAUUCUACAAAAUGAUUACAACCCUCAAAUGUUUUUUUGAGCUUACAAAGCAUUUUUUUUAUUCUCAAAACAUAUCUUGCUUUUAAAUAGAAAUUAUAAAAAAUAUAAAAAUAUAUAUUUAAAACAAAAAGAAUUAAAUUAAAAAAGAUUCUAGUUCAAUAAAUUUUACAGUAACCUUUUAACAACAAAAAGUGAUUAAUAUAUUUUCUUUUUAUUCUCUGAAAUGCUUAAAUAGUCACUAGUAAUUUUAUUUAAUUAAUGAUUUAAUUUUAAAUAAAGCAUGUGUUUUCUUCAAAAAGUGAUGCUUAUAUAUACAAUCAAAAUUCAUAGUUAUUACUUCCAUAUCUUAAUACCAACAAAUAUUUUAUUUAUUGUAAAAAUAAAUGCAAAAAUAAAAUAAAGAUUGAUUGCAUUUUAGAACCACAACAUGUAUGAGCCUAUAACCUAUUAAAAUAAAACAAAAAUAUUAAACAUCUAUAAUGUUGUACAAAAAAAAUGUGGAUUUGUACAAGAUAUGAAUUCUAACAUCUUUUACUCAUGGUUUAAAUUAUGUUGAUGUUGCUUCACUUAACCAUCAUCAAACUCUUCAAAAAUAAAAUAGUUAAAAGUUGACAUUGCCAAAACCUUACCAAUACUAAUUCUUAUUAUUCUUUGACUAUAAAAAUUCUCGUAAAAGCAUCUAAAUGAUCACUUAAUCAAUAUCCUUAUUAUUAUUAUUAUUAUUAUUAUUUCAAACGAACUCAAAUCCUCUUUUCAAGAGCAAUAAUUAAGUAGCCAAAGACUCACAUCUUUAUAAAAAUAAAUAAAAAAAUGCUAAUGACAAUUGAAUAAAUUUAAUAUAUAUAUAUAUAUAUAUAUAUAUAUACAUACAUACAUACAUUUGUAUAUUGAAAAAAUAAUAAUAAAAUUACAAAAGAAGUCUUAGAUAAAAUACGUAUUACUAAACAAAAUAUUGAUAUUUUAGAAGCCAAUUAAAUAUUCAAAGUAUUAAAUUAAUUUGAUAAAAUUGUCUUAACUUAUUUAAUCUCUUUCUAAAGCAAGAUGAAUGUGAUAAAAAUGCCUUUAUAACUUACUUUUGCACAUUUGUAAUCAAUGUUGAAAAUAAAAUAUAAAUUUAUACUAAAAAUAAGAAAAAGAUAAAAUAAUGUGUAUAAUAUUUAAAAAAUCAUAUUGUAAGAAAAAUCUUCCUCUCUCUCUCUCUCUAUAUAUAUAUACACAUAACUCUACAUUUAAACAUCACAGUUUGGCAAACUUUAACAUUGACCAAAGAAUCAUCAUCAUUACACACACACACACACAUAUAUAUAUAUAUAUAUAUAUAUAUAUUUAUAUACACUAGCAAAAACCUAUGCUAUAUUAGAAGACUUCUUUGUCUCUUUGUGUUAUAUCUAAGCUCUCUUAUAUAAUAGAUACACACUCACAAUAAAUUAAUUGUUUGUAAGAAUAACAAAACUAUGCAAUAUUUUUGAUAUAUUUGUAAGCUUUGCAAAUGGAAAAAUUAAAAUAGAUAGGAAAAUAUUAAAUAGACACAUGCUUUUACUAAAUAGGCCCAUCUUUGGUGAUGAAGAAUAUGGUAAUAAUGAUGAAUGUGGCUGGUUUUGGUUUUUAUUAGUUGUAGAACCAAUACUGGAAAAAUGAGUCCAGAAAUUAUUAUUCUUUUUCAUGAUGGGUAGAUCAAUUUAGUAAAAACUUGGGUCUAUUUAAUUUAUAUAUAUAUAUAUAUAUAUAUAUAAAUAUUAAACGGCAUCAUGUCCAAAUCCGUUAAGCACGACAUACAUAACAAGUUUCUGAUACCCUUGGCUCCAUGCUCCCCCCACCUUCCUCCUCCGAUGCGGCGACACGUGUCGCGCUUGUCUUUGAACCUAGCUUGCAGUUCAAAUUUUCAAAACCGUAUUUAAAAAGUGAAAGAGAAAAAAGAACGGAGGUAACUUGCAUCGUGAAGCGAGGGAGGGGUUUUACCCCCUUGGAGACUCCGCUCUCCGCCUGCGUUGCCUUGCCUUGGCUUUGAGGCUUGCUUUGUUGUUGCGUUACAGCAGCUGGACUAUUGGUCCAUAGACAAGCCGCCGAAGCCCUUGAUUGGAAUCCAAGGAUUCUACGCCAGAGCAUGUGCCUUGUAGUGGGAGAGAGUUCGUUCGCCGCAUGGAUCGGUGGUGGCCGAUGAUUGAGUGACGGCGGUUGCUGGCGUUAAUUUUACGAAAGCGGCGCAGGGAGAGAGGGAGUGAGGGAGGGAGGGACGGCGGGGGGCAGGUGGUGUGUUCCACGGGAGAGAUGAGCUUACUACGAAGUGUGCUCUCUAGUUAAGAGUGGAGCUGACGAUUUGCGUUUUAGCUGCGGUGUUGUAUUAACACGCUUGAAGUGAGGUGAGGAGUCCGCCAGCGACGCGAGGAGAGCUUAUCUGUCCUCUUGCUCUGUGUCGCGAUGAGCAGUUUGCGAGUCAAAGACGAAGAUGUUUGUGCGAAGGAAAUUGAAUUGGUACAGGAUCGUUACUUGUAUGCGGUGUGCAAAACGGACAAGGAACGCCGAGGCGAAGUGCACGAAUUGGACUCAGGGGGGUAGAAGCAGGAGGAGACGACGACGUCGGGUUGGGGCUGGGAGAGUGGAGUGGAAGGAUUGUGGCGUUGUAUCAUAGAUCAGUUAGCGUGGCGACUUGGGUCGUAAAAAGUCUUGGUUGUUGUUUUUUCAUUUUCCAGGGGUUCCUGUUCCUGGUUCUGAACAGAAAAUUAGGUUGAGCGUUGUGACGCUUUGACAAGGAGAGUGUAAUUAGGAGGAGUAAGGCGUGGAAUUGAAAGUGAACUCUGAGAAACGAAAAGUUCCUGUAGUUCUUAGCUAUGAUUCGAGGAUUUCACAAUUUGCUGCCGAGCGUGCCCUCAUCUCCGCGGCCAGCAGCUUCAAAAGCAGGGGAGUGCAACGCGUGUGACUGCACUGGAUUGAUAUCCUCUCAGGCGUUACCAAAUUCAGUCUCCGCAACUUGCACUUGUGAGACUUUGGAAGGGCAUGAUAUAUUUGGAAGUGAGUCAGUGUUCAAGGUUCACGAGAAUCAGUUGAACGUUCUUGACGAUUGGGAAUUCGCCGGGGACGAAGAGAAGGAGGUCAAGGAGCGGGUCGAGGCAACCGACGGAACGUCACAUUUUCUGUGAGUUUUGAGCAGGAUUGGUUCAGUUCGGGCAGUUAACUAUCAAUUAAUGAACUGAUUGUGUCGUGUGGUAUGAAACUUCCUUUCCAACUUGUAAGUGACUAGAUCUGUUGAUUGUAUCUUAUUCUCAGCACGUCAGACGCAGUCAGAGUUCCUGCUGAAGAAUCCGCUUUGGUCUAUGAAGAGGUUAACCCUGUCAUUUCAAGUUUGGAGGUCCGAACCAACGUUGCUGGAUACCUCGAUGAAGAACUUGGCCAGUCAAGGAACUGUGACUGGUUGGAGCCACCAUCUCCCUCUGGUUGUGUCGCAACGCAGGAGGGCAAUCGCCAGAUAGGUGAUGAAGGAGUCAUGCUUGAGGCCUUUCAACAGUUUCAACAAAGCCCGCAGAUUCAAGUAUUAAAACCAUAGCAUUCUUCACUAAGUUUUCGUGCACGCUCAAGCAGGAACUAGAGCAAAUUUUAUCGAGACAAGUCCAGAAGAGCAUCUAUGACCGAGUAUUUGCUAAUGAUCUUUUAUCGUUUUGUGACAGAAAAUGGUUGUAGAAUUAGCCACCGAUGCGCGGGUGUGGCAAGCUGUUCUCGCCAACAAGAAGCUCCAGCAGUACAGGGUCGGUGAUGCUGAAGGUAUCGGCUCCUCGCAACUAAAUGUGUGACUUUGCCGUUGAUGUAAGUCCAUAUCUGAGCCUUGCCGUUUCGUUUUUCUCAUAGUCUGAGAUCUUAUGCAAUGCAGGCGACUUUGAAGCUGGUAUUAUUCUCAAGGGACAUGGCAUCGACUACGCCGCACCUCGAAGCAAGGUGAUUUCGAACUUUGUUCUGUUAUCACACAAUGCAGCGCGCGAUCUGAAGGAGGGAUUGUGGGACCAUGUUAGAGGAGCUAUUGAAGUGUUAGACAAGAGGACGCAGACAGAAACACACAAAUUGAUGAAGGAGUUUAUGCAUCGAAUGCUCAUGAUGAUGGCAUUGUUUAUGCUCAGUUUAAUUAUCUUCUUGUCCCUCCUUCCGCUCCAAGUAUCUUAAGGCGCCUGAUGAGUUAGGUUCAAUUCUUCCAUCUGAAGUUGGACGCUGUUCAAACAACGACAAUAUUCUGUGUCCUUAAUUCUGGAUCACAACUGACGCCUUUGAAAGAGUGGUAAAACAACAAGUCCUGAAUACGUUUAGUUAAACUUAGUUUGUACAUGAACUUCUGUAUAUCUUGUACAGUUUGUAUCUAUUUGAAACUUGUAAUGCUUCUUCCGAUUAUGUAAAUCCUGAUUGCGCAUCUGCGACUGGUUCAUCUUGUUUUGACAAUUGACCUAGUACAUUGUGAACAAACACUGAAGUAUACCACUUUUCUGUGACUAAUUCUCAACGAACAUUGAAUUGAAGUAAGUAUUAUCUGCACUUCAUUUUUCCUGCGAGGGACUCACUUAUGCAGAUACUAAUGUUCUCCCAUCCAUUUUCUCCAGGGGAUGAUUGAAGUCGACCUUCCCUCGUCCUUAUUCACAUGCAGUUUAUGAAUUUGGGCAGCUUUAAUGGUUUCGGCAAGUAUGUGAUAUCUUGAAAACUAUCCUAAGAAUUUUAACGGACAAGUUCUGAAUCAGAUGAGGGAUGUUGCAGACUUGAGAUUUUGUACUUGGUGUUGGUAGUAUUCAGGGCUCUGGCGUAUCUCCUCCGUAGUCUGGAGCGCGUCUUCGACCUGUUAACAAGAAUCUCUUACCAAGUAUCACCAACUAUACAUUGUCCCUACUUUUUAGAUUGUGGUUCAAGGUUAAGCCUUAACGUGAGAGUCCUGGGAAGCACGUUUUGCUCUAUCUCAACGUUCUCUGCAUGCCUUUCGUGGAUAGCGGCAUCUCAACUACAACAACCCCCCCCCCCCCCCCCCAUCAGCCUUCACAACAAGAGUCGGUUAACUCGACCCCCGCAAGUCUUCUCUCGAUUGGCCUUCACAUUUUGCUAGCUUAGUACAGCAUCAUCGUUCUUUUAUAGAGUUGCAGGCGCCGCAUUCUGGGUGUCCUGAGAUAUGCCCAUGCGACCCGGUUGUUACGCUAAGUACUGAUUAUUCUACCUUAGUUGUUGGAUCGCUCCGGACCUCUUGAUUUCAAAGUUCACACAUUCCAGAAUCUCCUUUGGGAAUGGAAGAAUGGAGCACACAGUACGCCUCCAGGCAAAAGGCAAAGGUUAAUGUUGAUAAAACUUCCAAACACCUCAUUUGAUAGACGUUACCUCGAAUGUCCCACAUCACCUUGCCUAUGGAACAUAUCUCAUAUCAAUUCACCCACAAUGAAGCACUUUGUCUGUAGUAUUUAUCUUUCACUUUUUCACCCACUAAGUAUGUUGAGUGGAGAUGGUCAAUUUAGGAUUAAGCCGCUGAUUCAUACAACAUACUUUAUGAUGCAUUGUAUCCAUACACUUAUAGUUGAGUUUUGCUCACUAGUCAAGUCAAGUGUAUCAAACUUUAUUUUUCUAUCUAUAUGUUAUACUUUAUUUUUCUAUCUACAUGUUAUUAAAGCCUAGUCAAAGUAUAAUUAAAUAUUGGUGAAUAUUGCUUUCAUAUAUUCUAGAUGAAAUCUAAAACAAAAUUAAAGCAGAUUAAAAGAGAAUUGUUACAAUGGUUGAGAAUAACAAGUCUUUGAACUUUGAGAUAGGGGACUUGAAUAAAUUGACAAGGACCUUAAAUUAAAAUAUUUGGAAGAUCAAAAUGACAACAAUCUUGAAAAGAGAGAAUAUCUAGCCAUUAGUAGAGACAAAAUAAGUACCAAUAUUGUUUCCAAUACUUAUAGUUGGAACAUCCUAUAUUUAAGUCAAAAUAAAAAAAACAAAGCAAAGAGAAUAGUUAGAUAUUUCAAUGUCUUGCAGAGUAGUUAUAUUUUAGUAACUUACUUGGUGAAUAGUAGAGUUCACCAAGUUUAGGCUGUUGGUUCUUUAAAUAUGAACUUUACUUUUGAAAAAAUGAACUUAAACAAAGUUCUUCAUGUACAUUCAUUAUAACAUAAUUUUGUGUCAAUUGGCUUUUUAACAAAUGAAGGUUGAGUCAUAGUUUUUAUCAACAAAAAAUACCUUCUUUUGGAUGAUGAAACAAACAAAAACAUAUUAGCUAUGGAUACUAGAAAUUAUUCUAAUGGAUUAUACAAAUUUAUACAUAUAUCAUAGACAACAAAAGUAAAUUCAAUUUCAAUAGAUGAGAGUGUAGAUCUAUGGCAUAGAAAAUAUGGACAACUUUAUUAUUCUGACUUAUAAGACUUAUCAAAAGCCAAGAGAAUACAUGAAUUACUUACUUUUAGUACAAUCAAGCAAAUCUUCUCAGUACUGAUUACUUUGCCAGACGAUAAACAUAAUGGAAAGUUUUCAAACCUAUUACUUAAUAGAUGAAUAAUCUACUCAAAUCUUGAUUCCUAUAUACAAAUAGGGGUUGAAAAAAUAUGAAUUAUAUAUUUAAAAAAUUCUUGAAAGACAAUGAUAUAAAAAAAUAGCUUACAAUAGCAGCUACAAGUCAAUAAAAUAGAAUAAAUAAAUAUAAAAACUAGACAUUGGUAAAACAAGCUAGAUCCAUAGCUUCUACAAGAAAAUUCCAAGGUUGUCUUUAGACUAAAGCUAUAAAUAUAAUAAAUUAUUUAGUUAACCUAAGUCUUAUUUAAACCAACUAUGAAAUAUCAUACAAACAAAAAUAAAGUAAGAAAAAGCCUAUGGUGGAUUAUUUUUGUAUCUUUUAGUCAUUAGCUUUUUUUCAUAUUUUAAAAAAUAUCCAAAUUAGAUAAUAAAUCUAUAAAAUGUCUCUUUUUAAGCUACAAAGAUCAAAUUAAGUCAUACAAGUGCUUGAUUCAAUCACUUAUAGAAUAUAUAUAAGCCAAGCCAUAGUCUUUGAUGAAAUCCAAGUGAAAUAUGAACUUGUAAAAACUAUAGAAUUACUUCAUGAAGAACUAAUUUUUUCAAUUGACUAUGAAGAUAUAGUAGAAACAUAAUAGCUACAAGAAAUAGUAGAACAUUUUAUUAUUUAGGAACCAUAAAAAAAAAAUCUUUAGACAAUAACUUUACUAUCUAGUUAUAAACUAAAUCAAAAUCUCCAACCAAAUAUCUUGUAUAAGAACAAAGAUGAAUUAUUAGAUUUUGUGAUAGUUACAUAAUGAAUAUAGAAACAAAGAAAGGAAUAGAACCACAAAACUUUGAAUAAAUUAUAGAGCAUGAUGGUUGGAAAGAGACAAUCAAAUAAGAAAUAGAAAAAAUCAAGAAAAAUCAAAUAUAGAGACUUGUUGAUUUAUCAAAAGAAAAAAAAUACAUAUCUAUGUAAAAUGGAUCUUGGAGGUCAAAAUAAGAUCAAGUGGAAAUAUAAAAAAAUUGAAAGCAAUACUAAAAAUUGAGGAUUUUGAACAAGAAGAAGGGAUUGACUUCCAAGAAAUAUUUACACUAAUUUUAAGGUAGACUAUAAUUUGUAGCAUUGUUACUUUUGUAAGCAUAAAUAAGUAAAAAUUGAAAUAUUUCAAUAUCAAUGCCACAUUCAUAAAUGAUAAAAUCAAUAAAGAGUUAUACAUGAUUUUGCUUUGAAGUUUUGGAAAAGGAAAGAAAGAAGAAGAAGUGUGCAAAUUAUAAAAAGCAUUCUAUGGACUAUGAUAAGCUCUUAGAGCUUAAUAUAAUUGCAUGGAUAAUUAUCUAAAAUAACAUUGAUUAGAAAAAAGUAGAGAAGAUUAUAAUCUUUAUUUUUUAAUAAAUGAAGGAAAAUAUAUAAUUAUUUUAUUAUGUAAAAAUAGCAUCCUAAUAUCAAGAAAAAAUAUAAGAAAUAUCAUGUAAUUCAAGGAAGAAAUGACACAUAUCUUUGAGAUGUUAGAUUUAGAGAAUGUAAGAAUGUACUUAUGGAUAGAAUUUUACAAUAAUAAAUAUGGGAUUUACUUCUACUAAAGGCAUUAAAUAUGAAAAGUAUUGGAAUGAUUUAGCAUGAAUUUAUGUACUUCAAUAAGUAUAGCAAUGAAUCCUAAAUAUACGUUGAAGAAAGAAACAUGAAUCCUUGUACUUGACAAACUUAUUAAAAGUCUCAUAGACAACUUACUUUAUAUUAUCAUUAGCAAAUAAGACAUUUCAUAUGCUAUGGAUUGUAUUUCUUGACAUCUUAACAAUCUUCAAUAAGCUUAUUUUAAAGCAGCCAAAAAUAUUUCAUAAUAUUUGAAAAAAAGUCUUGAUUAUGUAAUAUUGUAUCCUUCUAAAGACAAAAAAAAAACAUACUUAUAUUUGCAGAUUCAAACUAUAUGGAAAAAAUUAACUAUUAUAGCUCAAUUUUAGGCAUCUUUUAUAAGCUUAGAUUGAUAAUAAUUGCUUGUUCAAGUAAAUUACAACCUACUCUGUCAUUCUCAUUUAUAAAAGAAAAAUAUAGGAUGCAUUUUGAGGUUAUCAAAAAUAUAAUCUAUUUUUAUAGAUUACUAAAAGAAUUAUAAAUUAAUGAUAAGGCAUCAAUUCUUCUAUAAUGUAAUAAUAUGUGUAACAUUAAAUUGAUAUGAAAUCCAAUAAUACAUAAUAAAAUCAAAUAUAUAGACUUAGAUCAUUGUUUUUUUUAAAAAAUAGGCAUCAAAGUAACUUAUAUUCUCAUUGAGUAUUAAUAGGCAAAUGUAUUUAUUAAAUCUUUGUUGAAUCUUCAAUUUAUUCAUAUUAAGGACAUGAAUUUCAAAAGAAGAAAUCUUCAAUACACUCUUGUGUCACUAAAAAGAACUAGAAAGUUACUCAAAGAUAAUAUAUUAUUGAACUAGAAUAACUAUUGCCAAAAAAAAAAAAAUGAUAGAAAGUCUUGAAACAAGACCAAAGACUAGAGAAGCAUUGACAAGAGUGAAGAAGGCUUUAUUCUUGCCUCCAUAUAUACUUUUAACUAGGAGCUAUGUCGCAAUAUCCUAUAGGACUUCCAAAACGAAUUGAAUUUAUAGGACAUGUAUUUUAACUUGCAAGGCAAGUUUCUUAUACGUGUGUCACAUAAUUAGCUUUUUCUAUAAGCUAGCAACAUGUGGUUAACUUGUUGACAAAGUUUUUAAUCUAUCAAUCAACUACAAACUCAUGUAAAAUUAAAGUAGCAUCUAUGAAGCUUCUAGAAAGCUUUUAAAGAAGAUAUUAUGAAAUUAAUCUACUUUUAUUUAUUUUUAUUUACUUCUAUCAAAUCAUAUAGAUAUUUAUUAGAAUACAUAUGUAUAUCCAUGAUAUUAUCUCUUCUUUUAGGGACAAGUUCUAUGAGGAGUGGUAUCAUGUAUUGAUAAAAUUCAAGAUGUGGCUAAUUAUAUUUGCCACAUUCUCUAUCUUUUUGGUGUCACAAAUACAUCAAAGUUACAAAGAAGGGUAGAAGGUAGAAUGUUAUCUUCUUUGAAUCUCAUUUCUUUUAUAGCAAAGAUUUAUUAUUUUUCAUCUUCAUUUUGAUAGAUGUUGUUAAUGAAAAGCCUCAACUCUCUUUGUUCUAUUUGCAAGGUUCUUUGCUAGCUUCUAUGUACAUUCACUAAUAUCAUAUUCGCAUCAAUGAAUAAGAUAUUUCAACCUAUUUUAGUAUUACCUUGAAUCUAAGACUUCUUCUAUCUCAAACUCUAGAUGAUUAUCCACUUCUAUAAGAAGUGGCAUUUGUCUUUUUCUUAAGAUAUUCAUUGUUUUAUAUGGUUGAAGAAGAGACUUUUAAAAUAUAUGGUGGAUCUUUAUAAACUUUGGUAGUUAUAAUUAAUAAGCAACAAGAUUGACGUGUUCACUAAUAGGAAAAGGUCCAAGCCUAUAAUAGUCCAACUUAUCAUAAGGACAAGUAGCCUUCAUAUUACAAUAAAGUAAUCAUACCUUGUCAUCUAUAUUAAAUUGUAGUUGUUCUUUGCAAUAGGCAUUUGCAUUAAUCUUUUGUUGUUCUUGAACUCCCUUUAACAAUUUUUUUUUUAAUUUUUUUAAUAUAAGAUUAUCAACUUCUAAAAAGUCAAAAAUAUCAAGUUAUAAAUGAUAACCAUAAUUAGUAAAAAAAAUAUUUAUUAAGUGGAAGAAUGUAUCAAAUUAUUGUACGUAAAAUUUUUCAAUAAUAAAAGAGUUGUUCAAUCAUCUUAAUGAUAGUUGAUGGUACAUCUCAAGUACUACUUCAAAACUUAAUUAUCUAUUUUAUUUGUCCAUCACUUUGAUAAUAAAAAUCCAAAGAGAGCUUUAUAUCUACUUUUAAAAUCUUAAAAAGGUUUUUUCAAAAUCUUAGUAUAAAUUGAAUCUCCUUAUCUAAUAUAAUAUCUUUAAAAAAAUUAUAAUAGCAAUAGAUGUUAAAAAAAACUUAAUUUUUUUUUUUAUUUGUGAUAGAUUUUGUAUAUGGUACAAAAUGUGCCAUCUUGAUAAAAUAAUCUACUACUACAAAUAUAAAAUUAUAUGAACCUAAGAUUAGAAGAUUCGUAAUAAAAUCCAUAGGAACAAAAGACCAUGAUUAUUUAGAAUAGAUAAUAGUUGAAGAAAUCUAUAAAGUUGAUAGUGAGGAAUUUUGGAACUUGAACAAGUAUCACAUAAUUAUACAAAGUCUUUGACUUCCUUUCACAUUUGAGGCUACUAAAAAUCUCUCAAUAUAAGCUCUAAAAUCUUGUCGUAUCGAAAAUGUUUGGUUAUUGAAAAGUCAUGAUAAGUUUGAAGAAUACAUAAUUGUACGCCAUCUUUUAGAAUAUAUAAUCGUCCCUUAAAAUAGAGUAGGUUGUUCUUGAACUUGAACUUGGAAGUAUUAUGAGACUUAGAAGAAUUAUUCUUAAUAUCAUGGAUAAAAAGAUUAGAGGACAAAUUUGAUUGAAUUUACUUGAAAAAGGUUGAAUCAACAAUCAAUAUUGAUUUUAUUGCUUGAAGUUGAAAAUAUUUUGCCUUUAAGAAAAUUAUUCUUUAUUAAUCAAAAGAUAUAUUUUUUUCUUUUGAUAUAAGAUAAGAAUUUCUAAAAAAGACGUCCAAAAAAUCUUAUAAUUUUUUGGAUUGAUAAGUGAUCUUGAAAUCAAAUCUUGAUAAAGAUAUGCUCCAACAAGCUUAGCAAUGAUUCAAAAUACAUGUCAACUUAGAGUACUCAAGGUUCUUGUAAUAUAUAUAUAUAUAUAUAUAUAUAUAUAUAUAUAUGGUGAUUGAAUUUAAGGUGCCUUUUAAAUAAUGAUGCCAUUCUUGAAAUGAAUUUAUAAUUGUAAGGAGCUCUUUGUUGUACAUCUCAUAAUUAAUCUUGGCUAUUAAGUUUUUUUGGAAUAAAAAGCUAUUGGAUGGAGUUUGUCAUUUAUUUCCAUUUGUGACAAUACUACAUCUAAGGCAAAGUCUGAUACAUCAAUUUCCAUAAAAAAUACCUUAAAAAAGUCAACACGAUUUAAAAUUGGUUUAAAAAUAAAUUUCUUUUUUAAAAAAUUAAAUGAUAUUUUGGCUUCUUUAUUUCACUUAAGUUUGUUUUUAAAAGUCAAACGUGUAAGUAGAGCUACAACUUGAAAAAAAUUCUUGAUAAAGACUCGAUAGUAAAUAAAAAAGCUUAAAAAGCAUUGCAUAUUUUUUACAGUUCUUAGAAUCUUUCAAUCCAUGAUAGUUUAGUUCUUUAUUAGAUCCAUUAUUAGUUUUCAAUUGGAAAUGAUGUAUCCUAAGAACUCAACUAGAGUAGUGUGGAAUACAUACUUUUCUAAUUUGGCAUAUAAUCUUGCAUCUCUAAGUUUUUGUAACACAUGACAAACAUGAACUUUAUGCUUUUCUAUUUUUAAAGAAUAAAUUAAGUUAUUUUUCAAAUGAUAAAUGAAAAAUCAUCAAGAAACUCAUAAAAGAUAUCAUUCAUUAGAUGUUGAAAAACAAUUGAUGCAUUCAUAAGUCCAAAAGGCAUGACAUUAUAUUCAAAAUGCCCAUACUUAGUUCCAAACAUAGUUUUCUAUUCAUCUCUUUUUUUAAUGCAUAUUAGAUUAUAUGCUCCUUGUAGAUCUAUUUUUAUAUAGAUCUAUGUUUUUUUGAGUUAAUCAAGAAGUCUUGAAAUCAAAGGUAGAGGAUAUCUAUUUUUGAUAGUGAUCUUGUUCAAUCUUCAAUAGUCUAUACACAUCUAUAGAAAUCUGUCUUUUUUCUUCACAAAUAAGAUAAGAGCCUCGGCUGGAGAUUUAAAAUGGUGUAUAAAAUUCUUAACCAAAUUCUCAUCAAUGUACUCCUUGAGUACAAGCAACUCAUUUUAUGAUAGGCUAUAAGUUGGUCCAAAUGGUGGUUGAACUUCUUUAUAAAGAUCAAAGAAACACUUAUAAGGAUAAUGCUUUGGAAGAAUAUCUACAUUUUGUUUUUCAAAAAUAUCUUAAAAAUCUUGAUAGUAGCUAUAAAUAUUACUUAAUAUAUUUUUACUAUUAAAAAUAGAUAUAGCAUAUAUAACAAAAGAUAAUACUUAUUUUGUGACAUGCAUAAAAGUUCUUGCAGUUACUAGUAAGGAUUUGGAUGUACUAGACUUAUGUAUUUUAUUUGACUAAUAAGAUUUUGGAUUAAACUAUCAAAAAAAUUAAGGUCAUAAAAAAUCCAAUCUAUUUGAAGAUUUUAUUUUUCUAACUAAAAUAACCCUAAAAUAACUAGAUUAGAUGGAGAUCUUAUUACAUUAAAUAUUACUAUACUAUUAUGAUCUUUAAUUGUUACAUCUAAAGGAACAUUUUCAUGUGUAAUAUCUCUAAAAGAUAGUAAACGACCAUCUAUGACUUCUACAUAUAUAGAUUUAGUUUUCUUGAUUAACAAUAUCUCUUGUUUUUUGACAAAAUCUUUGUUUAUAAAACAAAUUGAGGCUCUUGAAUCUAAUAAAGCUGAUUUUGUGAUUUUUUGGUUUUAAAUAAAUUUUUAUUGUAAAACAAGAUAAAGGAUCUAAAAAGAGAAUAAGAUUUUUACUAGGAAUUACAUAAGAUUUCAACCACACGGUUCCUAUUAUAGGUAGAAAAACUCAUUUUUUGAAACAUCAUCUUCUUUGGCAACCAUGCUUCUAAUUUUGUGGUUGCAUUAUUUCUUUGAACAAUGUUGAAUAGUGUAUUUAUCUUCUCUAUAGUAUAAAUAUAAGUCUUCUUGAUGUCAUCAAGUCUUUUCUUGCUUUUUAAUUGAUUUAAAAUGUAUUAUAUAAAUUUGCAUUGAUUCUAGCCUUAAUGAAUGUAUUUCUAAAAAUUUAAGAGCUGCCAUCAUAAUUUGACUUAUUCUUCUUUAGCCAAGUCUAUAUUCUUGACAUUAUUUAAAUAAUUGAUUAUUACAUGCAAUGACUUGAGUAAUAAAUUGUUCCAAAGAUUUCGCCUUUAAUAUUGUCAAUAACAAAUCUUUGACAUUAUCCUUUAAUCCAUAUCAAAAUUGAUUGAUAAGAGCUUUGUCAUUUCAAUCCACAUCUCAAGUAAGAUUUUGAAAUUCAAUAGUAUAUAUGGUAGCUAAUUAAAAACCUUGUUGUAAAAAAAAGAAUUUGGUUUUUGCUACUCUUUCUUGAUCACUUUUUCCAAAUAUGGCUAUAAAUACUUUUAAGAAUGAAUUCAAAUUAUAAAAGAGUCACAAAUUUUUUUCUAUUAAAGAUGCAAACCAAAAAAGAAUACUUCUUGAUAGAAGUAUGCCUAUGAAUCUCACUUGAAUAAAUCCAUUAAAGUAUUGGAAGGGAUGCAACUUUAAAUAGAGCUUGAGUUAUUGUUGAAAUCCUCAAAAUUUUGAUCUUGUUCUAUCAAACUUUUUGAGUAUACUAAUUCUUAUCCCCAGUAUACUUAUAGAAGAAAAACUCCUUGGAUUUGGUUGUGACGUCAAUCUAUUUAUUUCCUUCAAUUGCACAAUUUUUUGAUGUAAACUUUGAACUUCUUCCAUAGGUAUAGAAAUAAUAUCUUUAUGAUUUAUGUUAGAAAUAUGUAAGAUUUUUAUUCUAAGAGUAUUAACGAGGUCAUGGAGAUCUACAAUAAUUGCACAUCAAUUGUCUUGAGUGCUAAGAGUAGUAUCCAUAAUCUUUUCUUCUAUAGACAACUCAAACAAAUUCAAAAUAUUAAAUUAGAAGAAAAUAUUCUACAACCUCUAAUAUCAAAUGAAAAUUUCUACAAAAAAAGAUAAUCUACUUUCUUUUAGAAAAAGAUCAAUAUUAAAAAUAAGAUUAUUUAUUUAAAAGUAGAUAGUUUGUAACCUUCAAAAUAAAAUAAUAGAAGUAGAAUAAUUCAUUCAUUUCUAAAAUAAGAUAAAAAUAGUAAAUUAAUACUCUUGUCAAAAUUUUCAAGGACAUGAAUCUCAAAGAAAGAAAUCCUCAAUAUACUCUUGUGUCAUUAAAAAGAACUAGAAAGUCACUCAAAGAUGAUAUAUUAUUGAACUAGAAAGUCACUCAAAGAUGAUAUAUUAUUGAACUAGAAUAGCUAUUGUCAAAAAUAAAAAAUUAGAAAGAAUUAAAAAAAGACUAAAGACUAGAAAGGCAUUGAUAAGAAUGAAGAAGGCUUCACUCUUACCUCUACAUAUAUUCUUAAUUAGGAACUAUGUGACAAUAUUCUAUAGAACCUCAAAAACGUGUUGACUUUGCAAGAUACAUAUCUUAACUUGCAAAGCAAGUUUUUUGUAUUUGUGCCACAUAUUUAGCUUGUUCCACAAGCUAUCAAUACAUGGUUAACUUAUUGACCAAGCUUUUAACCUACCAAUUAACUAUAAACACAUGUAAAUUCAAAGCAAUAUCUAUGAAGCUUCUAGAAAGCUUUUUUAGAAGAUAUUAUAAAAUCAAUCUAAUUUUAUCUACUUUUAUCUAAUUCUAUCUAAUCAUAUAGGUAUUUAGUAGAGUAUAUAUGUAUAUCUAUGAUAAUUCACAACCAAAUAUUAACUAGGUUAAAAAAAAAAAUACUAACUCAGAAUCUUAUUGCAUAAAAACUAGAGUUCAAAAGGAGAGGCUAAAAUCCUAAGAUUUUACUUAUUAAAUUAAUUUAAUCAAGCCAAAAAAAGUUUUGGCUUCUUACUCAAUCUUGAAAAUCUUAUACUUUGUCCCAUUGAAAUUAGCUAUUUGGUUGUAACAAUCCAAUCAAGAUGCAUAAAACUUAAGGAUCAUGCCUUAACAAACUGCAUAAAACUUUCUUACACUUCUAAAAGAAGAAGUUAUACAGUCAAAGAAAAACUCCUAAUGCUAAGAAACAUUAUUAUUUCUUGUAACAUCUUAUAAUAUAGUCACUUCAAUUAAUGGCAUAGGAAUAUAUUCUUAUAAAAAAGUUCUUUCAAUAGAAGACAAAAGAAUGUACUCUUAUGAUAUAAUUGCUUUAAUCAAAGAUAAAAAAAUACUUAAAUUUUACUAUAGCUUUUAUAGUUUCUUCAAUACUUUUUUUUCACAACUAAUGAAUUAUCUUAAACAAUAGAUUCUAAAAAUCAAAUGAAAGUCUUUUGAGAUAAUGAGUCACAAUCUUAAUGAAGAAUAAUUAAUAGAAGCCAUAAAAUGAGCAAAAUUAAUUUGAUUUGCAUCAAAGAAUAUUUCAAAAAUUAGACAAUUAAUUUAUAUUUAGAAAUUAAAUAAAUAAAAAUAAAAAAUAAAAAUAAAAAAAUUCUACCAUUAAAAUCUUUUCAACAAAAUUUUUAAGGAUCUCUAUAAUUUUUAUUUACUUUGAUUUAUUUUGAAUCAUUAAUAACACAAUGAUAUAUUGAAUUGAUAGAGAGUAUUGAUAAAACUUCCAAAUAUCUCAUUAGAGUGAUGUCACCUUGAAUGCUUCACAUCACCUCACUUGUAAAAUAUAUUCCAUAUAAAUUCACUUACAAUAAAUUACUUUGUUUGUAGUACUUGUCGUUCAUCUUUUCAUCCACUAAGUAAGUUGAGUCAGAUGGUUACUUUAGGAUUAAGCCAAGAACAUUGUAUCUAUAUAAUUGUAGUUUAGCUUUACUUAUUUAAGUAUAUCAAUUUUUAUUUUUUAAUCUAUAAUUAAUUCAUGGUCUAAAAUAGAUAAUUUAUUUUUGAAUAAAAUAUGGUAUCUAAUUAUAUUAUUAUUCCAUUCCCAUCAAUCAAUAAUUACUACAUAUUGAUAAUUUACACAUAUCCAUUCUAAGCACAAUGAAUGUUAUUUAUUACUUAUAGCUUAAUAUUAUUUUAAAAAACCUCCAAUCCAUUUAUAAUUAAUAAAAUAUUAGAUCUAAUAGUUAAAUUAACAAAAUUAAGUAGGCCUAUAUGUUAGAAAUGAGAGGUGGUCGACAAUGAAUUGGCUACCUUAAUGUGAUUUUGGAACUGAUUUUAAGCCUUGGAAUCAAAAGUUUAGCAUCAAAGAAUAGAACUCAUAGACCUUUAUGUAUAUGAGAAUAUGAAGUAGUUUUGUAUUCAUAAUUUUACAUAUAUAUUUAGGAAAGAAAUGGGCCAAAACUUUUAGUUCUCUCUUCUAAUUUUUACAUGUAUUGGUACCUACCUUUAUAUAUCUUGAGUAUUAGAUACUUAGAAAUAUGGCAACUCAAGCAUAAACACCAAAUAUAUUGAUAUGUUUUAUAAUCCAAUAAUCAAGGACUUAUACCUCUAUUCAAAAAUAGAUAUUUACAACAUAAUGUAAAGAGGUUGAAGUCCACUCUUAAAAAAAAUAUGAUUAGAUUAUAAAAAAAAUCGAAAGAAGCUUAAAAGGUGUAUAAAAACUAUACAAAAGGUGUGAACUAAAAAAAAGUGAGUUUUUGUCACACUCAUGGAUCUUAUAAAUUGUCUCUUGCAACAAAUGUAAUGUACACAAGGUAUUCAAAUGUGUGCUUACUUGGCUUAAAUAAGAAAAUUAAAUUUGAAUUUCAUUAUAAUUUGAAAUUCAUAGCUUUGAGUUAUAGGAGUUUGAGCAAAUAUCCAAAUAUGAAUUUUAAGUACUAAGUCCAUGAUUGGAUUAUUCAACUAGCAAAAUAAGUUCUAGUAGAAAUAGAUGGUUGCUAUGUAUCAUAGACUUGCAACUCUAAAUAGAGGAUGCCAUCGCAUGUAUCUUUUGUCAUGUGCAAAGUUGACAACCAUCAUCAUAUGGUAGAAGUGUUGUAGAAUUAAAUCAUAGUAGUUUUACGAGAAACCAUUAAAAGUAGACAUUUCUUGAAGAUUGCACCCUAUUCCUUGAAAGAUUCAACUUGUAUAAAUUCUAGAAUCUAAAAUGGUUUUGAUAUGUGGUGAUGAUUAUAAAUGGAUAAUAUCUACUAAGUUUCAAUAUUUAAUUAAUGGAUUUUAUUGUAAAAAAUAAGAUAUUAGAUAAUAUUAUAAUUUUGGCAUAUUCUUAAUGUAUCACAAAGCAAACUAUAUGUUAUUAACAAUGAUAGUAUAUAGAUUCUUAAAAAUCUAUUACAAAAAUAAGAUAAGUUAUAAAAAUAGAUAAAUUCCAUUUGUUGCAAAUAAAAUAUACCAAAAGUCAAAGAUGAGAUGACACUUCUAGUAUUUUAGGUAAGAAUUGGUUAAGUCAUAGCUUUUGAUGCACAUAAUAUGGAACAUUCAAUACAUUCAAUACUCAUCCUCUAGAAAUGAGACUUAAUUCUCUACUAAAACAAGAUUUAAUUUUCUAAACUAAAAUAAGACCUAAUAUAUCCUUAAAAGCUAGAAAAUUAUUUCUAAGAAGAGGUUUUGAGAAAAUAUCAGCUGCCAUUUACUUUGUAGGAUAAUAUUCCAAACCAAUUUAUCUUUUCUCCACACAUUGCCUAAUAAAAUGGUAUUCAAUAUUCUAAUGCUUUAUACAACUAUGGUAAGCUGGAUUUUUGGCAAUAGCAAUGGAAUUCUAAUUAUCUUCAUAAAUAAGAAUCUUUUUUGACUCAAGAAUGUUAUAAUACCUAAGUAUUUUACACAGCUACAAAGUCUCUCUUAUUGCAGCAACCAAAGCUACAUACUUUGCAUCUAUUGACAAGACAUAAAUUGAAGAUUGCUUCUUGUUUGAUCAAGUGGUAAAUGCUCUACCUAAUAUAAAUGCAUAACCACCAAUUGAACAACAUAUCUCCACACAACUUGCCCCAUCUACAUCAUUAUAGCCUACAAGUUGCAAAUUUGCUUCUUUUCUUCUAUAUUAUAAUACCAAAUGUUUUGUCCCUUGUAAAUAAAAAAAUAUUUGUUUGAUUCCUUGUUAAUGUAAAACAUAUGGAUGUACCAUAUAUUGAGCAAAGUAUUGACAAGCAAAUAUAAUUUCAUAUCUUGUAUUAUUUACAAAGUACACUAAUGAACCUAAAACCUUUUGAUAAAGCUUAAUAUCUUUUGUAUCUAAAAGGUUAUUAUUCUUAUGUUUAGUAGUAUGACCUUGUAUUAUUGAUGUAGCAAUUUCCUUUGUAUUUUUCAUUCCAAAUUCCUCCAACUUUUGACAAAUGUACUUGGUUUGAUUGAAACUAUUGGAACUAUUUUUCUUGUAUUGCAAAAAAUCAAUGCAAAGAAAAUUACUAGAUUCACCAAGGCCUUUUAUCUUGUAGCCUUCUUCCAAUUUAUCCUUAAAUUUCACAAAGAUCUCAAAGUUCUUACUACCAAUAAAUACGUCAUCAACAUAAAUAAUUACUGUAAGAAUUAGCUUAUUAACGUACAUUGUCUAAUUCUAAUGUACAAGGUCUGAUUCUAAGUGCUUCCAACUAAGAUUCAAUAGAAAUUUAUCCAAACUCUCAUUUCAUCUAUGUUUAGAUUGCUUUAAACCAUAUGAAGUCUUCAGCAAUUACAACAUCUUGCUUUUGUGCUCUGAUAGAACUCCUAAUUCUUCUAGAAUCUUCAUUUAAAUUUUCUUUUUUUUCUAAGUUUAUCAUUUAAAUAAAAAAAUCUUAAACCAUUUAAAUUUGAAACAACAUCAAUUUGUAAUAUAUUCUAAUUAAAAAUAUCAAUAAUUACAACAAAUAUACAAAUUGUUGCAAGGUAAGCAACUGGUAUAAAAUUUUCUUAGUAAUCAAGACCUUUAACUUGAAUAAAACCUUUUGUAACCAAUCAUACUUUUAAACAUUCAAUAGAGCCAUCCUUAGCAAGUUUUUUUCUUAAAAACUCAUUUUAAAUCUAUAAUAUUUUUACCAUUGAAUAAAAAUAAUUUUUUCCAUGUACCAUGAUCUUUUAAAGAAUUGAAUUCUUCUUUCAUUAUACUACUCUAUUCUUUGUAAAAAAGUAAAUUCAUAGCUUACUCAAUAAUCUCUAAUUUUGUAUAUUCAUCAACAUGAACUACAUCCAUUGUUUCAAUUGACAAGUCAUAAACUCCUUAAAUAAAAUUAUUGUCUUUUUUCUAACGCGUGCAAUGUAUCUUAUUGCCACUUAUAAUAUUUGCCAAGUUAAUACCACCUACAUGACAAUGUUUUGGUGGUGAAGCUUGAGUGGUUGCUUCACCUUUUGAUUAAUGGAAUUCCAUUGCAUUUGUUGGUAUAAGGUUUACUUCUUCUUCAACCAUUUUUUCAUCUAAUCCAUCAUGCACAUGUAAUCUUGGAGCUUGAGAUUGGAAUAUUUUUAAUUUUCUUGGAUGCUAAAAAACUAGCAAAUAAAGAUUGUUCUUAUGAUCUAUCUCUUCACUAAUUUUCUCUUGAAAGAUUAAUAGUUCUCUAAGUAACUUAUCCUUAUUAUCAAGAAAAAUCACAACUUGACUAAUGAUUAUCUUCUUUUCCUCAGAUAGAAAAUUUUUGUACCCUUUUGCCACUUUUGAAUAUCCAAUAAAAAUAUCUUUCCUUGCCUUUGUAUCAAUUUUUUGACAUUUUUUCUUUGAUAUGUAAUACCAAAUAAGAAAACCAAAGUAAUGAGCAUUUUGAAGGAAAGGUUUUUUGCCAUAAAAAAAAUUGUGUGAUAUCUUACCAUCGAGUCUUGCAAAUUGAAGGCAAUUGCAAGUCCAAAUCAAAAAAUUUGCUACAAAUGCUCAAUAUUGACAAUCCAACUUAGCAUUGUCUAGAAGAGUUUGUAUUCCUUCAAAAAUAGUCUAUAUCAUAUGCUCUGCCAUGUCAACAAUUUAAUGUGUAUAUAUAAGAGUAGUCAUGUUCCAAAUGCCUUCAACUUUGAAGUAAAAAUGAAGCUUAUUAUUCAAGAAUUCAGUACCUUAAUUAAUAAGAAAAGUUUUUAUUUUUCUUCUAAUUCUUCUUUGUACCUCUGCUUUUCAAGUCUUAUAAACAAUAUGUACUUGAUUCUUAGUUUAAAAAAAUUUAAGGCUACAAUAGCCAAAAUGUUCAUCAAUCCAUACAAUUAGCUAUUUAAUUCCACCAAAAUUAGUUGUAUUGGAAUAAUGAAGAUCAGAUAUUAUCAUAUCCAAAAUAUCAUUGGCUUAUUUAUGCUUGUAUAAGAAAGAUUGUGUAUUGGCCUUACCAACAAUGUAUGACUCACAAAUUGGUAUUUUAUCCUUCUCUCCUCUAAAUUCUAAUCCUUCAAUAUAAUUCAUCUACUGUCAUAUUGUAAUUGUUUAUAGCAUGUAAAAAUUAAUUAAAAUAGAUAAUAUAUUUAUAAAUAUUGGUAUAUUUUAGAAUGAUUAUUAGAUUAAUUUAUAGAGAGUUGAUAUAAAAAAAUUAUUUUAAGGUUUAUUUAUGUUGAUUAUAGUAUUUAAAUUAUAUCAAAUUUAGAUAUUCAGUAUAAAAUUUAAGCAAAAGACUUGAGUUUAAAGAUGAAAAUCCAAACCUCUAAGAAACUUAUUUUGAGAGAUGAAAGGAAGGUAUGGAUGGAUGAAGGUAAAAGAUAAAGAUCUUCAUAUCUUUUAGUCAAAGGCCAUAUCCAAUAGGUAUUUAGCAUGCUGUCUGUGACCAUAAAAAGGAUUUUGGUAACUUCAAAAUAGGCAUUUGAGAAUAAAAAAAAAAAAAUUAUAAGGUUUAGGAUUUGGCCUACAAUUUUUGUACGAAUUUUAGAGGAUUUGGAAUUAGGGUGAUAAAGUUAUAGCCAUUUGAAGUUAAGGUGUCUUUUUAAGAUAUACUAUUACUAUUUUGAAGAUAUGAAAAGUUUUAUGAUAGAUUUUGGACAUCAAAAGAUGUGGCUACAAAGAUAAUUUGAAGACCUAUAUUUAUUAUGAAAUAAUUUUUGUAUUUGAAGUUUGUAUAAAGAAGUUAUAGAGCACUGAAGACAAUACAUAUAAUUCAAAGGCAAUAAGUGAGUUGUUUUGUUGAUAGUAAUGGUUGGAGCCAUAUUUUGAGUUUUUGAAUGAAGUUUUGGCUCCAAAUUUCGAAAAGUAUGUGUUAUUAGAUGAAAAAGCUAUACAUAAAAAAUUUCAUGGUAUUUAAAUAUUUAAUUUGUGAGAUAUAAAGAAAUUUGCACAUAGAUGUAUGUAAGCAAGUGUUUGAAGCUAUUAUUAGGAUUUUAGUAUUAUCUUAAGAUCUGUAAUAAAUUUGUAAUUGAAAUUUGUUAUAGUAGUUUUUAAAAGUACAUCACUACUUCAUGUAAAAUUUGGAUUUUUUUGGAUGGUCCAAUCAUGAGAUAUGACCUAUUGAAGUUUAAAAAAAAUUCACCUUAAGGAUAUACAAGGUUUUAUAAUAUUUUUAUCACAAUUUUGGUGAUCUUUGGUACUUAAGACUUAUAUAUCAAUGUAAUUGCCCCUAUAGAGAUAAAUUUAUACAUAAACUUGGUAUUUUUUUAAUCUUGAGGCUUGAUUGAGUAAUUAGUAAUAGUUAAAAGCCUAUCACUUUCUUAAGGUAAAUUCUCUCUAUUUCAAUACUCCUUUGCCUCCCAUAUUGUAUGCAUUGAAUCAUGCACUAAUGCUUGAAGCCAUUUAAUAAGUAUAAAACUCAGAAUAAUUGAACUCAAAAUUGUGGCAACUUCUUCAAUUUUAUAGGGCAUAAGGUAAGUUUUAUCAGCUAGCAUGCCUUGUGUGAAUAAGUUAUAUGAAGGUAGAAUCUAAUCAACUCCAUUAACAUUUAAGAUGAAUUUUCUACCUCUCUUGCAUAAAUUUGUAGCUAAUAAUAAAGUAUUAAGUGCUCCAAGAAUCUAAUUGACAUCCUUUACAACCAUAAGAAUGCAUUUUUUUGUAGGAUCUAAAACUAUGUGAUACAUCUCACAUGAGCCUUGUGAUUUGCUAAUGCCACCAUUGUAGCCUUAGAAUUAAAUAGUCACAUUUUUAUUGAAAUUGAAAAGUUUAUUCUUAUCUCCUUGGAUGUUUACAUCUGUUGCACUAUCAAUGUGUACAUAAUGUUAUAAUUGAGACAAUAAUCUAAUCAUUAUUUUUAAAUUAAAUGAUACUUCUUGACUUGAAAGAAUAACAACAAUUCUAACAUUUAUUAUAUUAUUUCUAUUUGUUUUAGGAUAUUCUAUAUUAUCUUGUCAAUGCCCUUUUAGUCUAUAAGCCUUAUAAGUACUUUUAGAUUUAUCAAUCUUAGGUUUUUGUUUUUGCUAUAGAUGAUGCUUCUUUAGGACUUGUUUUCUUCUUGCAUGUAUUACUAAAGCCAAAAUGGAAAAUUACUCUUUUUCUUCCUUUGCAUCUCCUCUUUAAGAAGAAUAGAUUGUACUACUUCUUCCGUAAUCUCUUCUCUUUUUUUUCAAUGCAAUCAACUGAAUAAGUACAUCUUAGGAUUUUGAUAAUGUAGUAAAUAUAAGAGAUGCCAUACUCUGUUUGUCUCUUUCACUACUGACUUCAAUAUAUUGAUUCUUAAGAUAAAAUAUCUCUCCAAGAAAAAUCUCUAUGGAUUUUUUAUCCAUAUAUCAAAGAUUAUAUAAUUUCUUCAUUGCAUAUAUCUUGGUAAUGACUCCUAAGGACUUGUGGAUCUUAGCUAAUAUAUCCCACAUUUCCUUUGUAGUAUUGUAUUUGUGUAUGUGAGUUAAUUGCAAAGAUUUAACAUUGAGUGCAAUCAAUGUUUGUGCUUCUAUUUUACUUGAUUUCUAUUUUAAUUUUCCAUCAAUACUUGUUGGACAUUCUAAUAUUCCAUCUACAUACAUGUAGAACUUAUGGAUGCACAUCAAAUAUUCUAUAACAAAUAUCCAUGUGCCAUAGUUUUUCUCAUCUAAUUGAUUAAUGCAAUGAUCCAUUGAAGAUGCCAUUGUCAAAUACAAUUAAUGUAAUAGUAACAAAUAACUAUAAGAAAAUAAUUAAAAAAUAGUUUACAAAGUGUAAUAUUUAGAGAGUAGUAGUACCAAGCUAUAUUGGCACAAAACAAACUUGUUUUUAUUGCCAAAAAUAAAUAAAAUUUGAUUAAAUUAAAAUCAGCUUCAAAUAGAAUCAAAUUCCAGCUCCAACAACUACAUCAACUCCAACACCUUUAAUAACUCUGGUAGCUCCAAUGGCUCCAAUAACUCUAGCAAUUCCAACAACUUCAAUAAUUUCAGCAGCUCCAACAACUCUGAUAGUUCCAACACCUCUAGUAGUGAUAGAGCUCUAGCAACAAGUAAAUCAUCUAAAUUUUUAUAUGGUGAAAGCAUCCAAUUUUUUCAUUCAAAGUUUGUCCAACUAAUUUUCAUCCAUGAUAAUGUUCAUCUAACUCUGAUACUAUGUUACAAAAAUAGAAUAAGUUAUGAAAAGAGAUGAAUAUCAUUUGUUGUGAACAAAAUGUGAUAUAAGCCAAGGAAGAGAGGGCACUUCUAGUGUAUUAGUUAAGAGCUCGUUAAGUCACAGCCUUUGGUGCACAUAAUAUGGCACAUUCAACACAGUCAACAAAAUCAAAUGCUCUAGAUCACGACCAUAACCUACUAACAAACACAUUUUGUUUCUCUUCAAAAGCUGACAUGCUGAUUUCCAACAAUAUUCCAACUUUCUGUAAGGAGUAACAUCCAUGGAAGCUUUUAACCGUGAAGUCAUUUGUUACGACACGUGAGGGGUUGACUUAUACACUCCAUAGAAACGUUCAAAGCUUCUUCCUAUAGACAUAUUGUCAACGCUAGAUCGUACCCAAACGCAAGCGUAUGCAUCAUGUGCACAUUCUCUACCACAACUGGUUUCAGAGUGCCGUGUCAAUUUCCUCAGCAACACGCAACAACGCUUCGGCGUGGACCCACAAGUCCAAACCUGCAGACUGUCACUAGAGUGGCCCCACCGAACCAGACCGGAUAACUUCACCUGAACAAAUUUCAUUCUGCCCUGCAGAGCUGCGCCGAUUUCACCUCGUGUUAUGGACCCAUCUAGACUUGUUCAUCGUACGAGACCUCCCGGUACUAAGUCUAGAUCUAGACACGAAACCAGAUCCCUGACAGUGUAGAAGUUAUUAAGCACUGGUCAGAGACUUGCAGCAAUGGCACUAGGGCAUGAGCCCAGUUAGCAAAGAGCAAUUCAUAGACAAUGAUCAGGCAACUGGAAGGUACACUUGUGAGUCACAAAGCCACCCUGCUGUACAAUUCUUGUGGGUGUUGUGAGUUAGACUCAUCGUUAAACUAGGUGCCUUGAAGCGCCACCAUUUGCAGGUCGCUGUGCAGGUCUUGGUUUUCACAUUGCUGCUGCAGGUGCAGGUAUCCAUGUGGUCGGUAGAACUCACUUCAAUUCAGCUAUAAAAUUUCUAGCUUGCACUCCUGACGGCACAUAACAAUGACACUACAAAAUGAUAUUGAUUCUCAAUCUCAUAACAUCAAGGCUUAAUCUAUGAAUUCAGUAACCAAAGAGGCUUCCACUUACCACAACCAUGAGGUUCUUAUUCCUUCUGAUGGCAAAGCAAUGUAUGACACGCUUUGCAGACAAUGUGGUGUGAUGGUGUCCCUGAUGGCGGACUUCCAAUCUUCCAAGGCUUGUGCACAAAUGGCUCAUUGAAAUGAGCUUUGGAAUGCAUGAGAUGUAUAAACAAUGUGGUCAGAGGAAGUUUGAUCAUAUGUGUGGAUAUAUAUAUGUAUAUAUAUAUAUAUAUAUAUAUAUAUAAAUCUUAAAGUGAUCCACCUAUUUACUAAAUUGAUCGACCCUAUCUUAACCAUUAUUACCCUCAUUUCCACCCUCCUAGUUCCCAGCCUUUGUUUCUCUUGUUCUCAACUCUCCUACCAACCUCCCUCAUUUCUAAUCCUAGUUCUCUUUGUUCCCUGCUCUCAUCCUUACCUCUUCCUCAAAUCCUCAUAUUCUCUAUGUUAGAACAAUCAUCCCUGCUCCAUCAUCCUCCUACUUAUGUUAUUAUUUAGAUCUAUGAAUACAUGAUCUCUCAUCCACUUCUCUUCAAGAGAAGCAAAAUUCAUCCUAUGUUUCUUUAUACUUAUAUGAGUACUUGUGAGUCACUAAGUUGACUAACUUUGUUAUUUAGUAUAAAAAAUACACUUAUUGUGCUUACAAAUAUAAAUUAUGUGAGUUAGUAGUAGAAUUUUUAGAAAAAAUAGAAAAUAAAUUGCUAAUAGCAGAUAUAUAGUCCAUGGUAGAAUUUAUUAAGACAAUUUUCAUGAUGAAUAGGUUUUUUGUAGCUAAUAUUAAAUGAUGGCCAAUGGAAGUAUUCUUCUUGGUUAAAAAGGAAGAAAUUUUUUUUAUUUUAUUAAUAAUUCUUAAAUAUAUAUAUAUAUAUAAAAUAAAAAGUUCAAGAGAGUGAAAAAACGAAUAGAGAAUAGAAGAGAAGAAGGGAAGAAGAAGAAGAAAAGAAGAAGAAGAAGAAGAAAGGAGAAGAAGAAAAAAAAGAAAAGAAAAAAAAAGAAAGAAAAAGAAUUGCAAAGGUGAUCAAGAGGACAAGAGGCUGCUCCUGAACGACGGCAGCCUCUUAGUGGAUAGGGGUCCAGCCGCCCAGAUUUCCCCUGGCUCACAAUUUUAUUUUUAAAUUUUUUUUUUUCUCCCUUCUUGUGUUGUAGCAUGGUGGCCGGCUGGAGGGAAGACGUUUUUUUUUUGGAAUUUUUCCUUGUUCCUCCGACGUGCGGUUGCUGCUACGGAGUUUUUGGUGCAGUCUAGGCGCUGCAGUGUAGCAUCCUAGUUCUUCCUAACUUGUAGUUUUGGUGGCCGUCGACGGAACUAAUCACGGCGAUCAAGUUCUUUUUGUAUCCCAGGAAGUUCAGGUUGCGGUGUUCUGCAGCUGUGGUUUUCUUUCUUCUCCAAGUUGUGGCAGCAAUGGCACUACGGUUGGCACGGCGAGAGUGGAGGUUGUCAGUGUUGUUGCUGAUCUGGGAUUUUGGAAGAGAGCAUUGGCGCUAGAGGUGUGGCGAUGCUAGGGGGAAGAUGAAAAGGAUCUCUUUGGGUUGUGCGGACUCUUCUGUGGGAGCGGCGGUGAUGAUCGUGCACGGUUGUGUUGCUGAACGCACUUGUGCCUUCAUUUUUUUCGUGUUAAUUGUUUGUUGAAAUGCUGCGAAGCAAGAUUUUUUUUUUGUUUUGUUUUGUGAUCAGCGUGGAUGCCAGUGGUUCGGUCUGUGUACUGGUUCCGAUUGGAAUACUGCGAUGGUGUUGCAGUCCUAUGUUAUUGACAAAAUGCACUCUUUUGGAUUGUUUGGAUUCGAGGAGGUUGUGAGUUGGUUCAUAUGAACUCAAGCAAGGCGGAGUAGAGUCUGCUUAGGAGCUAGGAUAGAAGUUAUAGAUCGAUGAUUGUGUCAGCCAAUGUGAUUCAGAGCUGCGGAUCACAGUUAUUAAAUCACCGAGUCCGCAUGCACGGCGGGUUUUCGCUGGUUGUAUGGGCAGAAAGAUGGGAAUAAUGUUUGACAAGGUGUGGUAGUCACGUAUGAAGUCGUAAUUAUGCAUAUCAUGUUGGGGUCCAGGCGAUGCUACAAUCUACAACAGGGACAAAUCCAUUGUAAUACAGGUCAAACUUGAAAACAAAACAUUUCAUGAUUAGUCACGUUGAAACAAUCAGAUAUCGGAGUACAAAGGCACUGGCCGUGAUGGGUCAGUGGGUACAAUCAAUCAUGAAUGGAGCUUUAGGUGCAAUAAACGCGGACAUUGGGGCCAAGACGAAUCACUCUAGACCCGGUACAAACAACUUUGAGUCAGAGACGUAACAACAACUGUGCAACGCCGUGGGAGCUCAUGCGACUAGUGACAACGUUGUUCAAUCUUAUGUGUCACAUUUGCACUGGCAUAUCAACUACUAAAGGACAUUGCACGACCAACAUUUGCAGCUCAAACAUCUUCUGUAGCGGCUACUCUGCAGACUCCACGAAGAAGCUGGAGGCAUUGUUCCUUGUCGAAAUGUUCUUGUUGAAAUCGUUGGUGUGGCCCCUCCUCAUCGGGACUGACUCCUUACGAGUUUAGAAUUUUCUUUUUAAUCGACAUAUUGUUCAAGAUCAAGAAGGUGAAAGAGAACAACGACAAGUCGCUGGAUGGAUAGCUCCCAUGCAUGGAAUGGCAGGAGCUUGUUGUCUUUUGUUCUUUCGAAAGCAUGAGCAAAGGGUUUAUGGGGCGUUUUAGUACCUACAACCGAGAAUGCUGGGUGCUCUUGAAGAUCUAUGUUUGAAAGUGUACUUGUCUCUUGUUGCUUUCACUUGGAACAAGAUUGCAGCAUCUUCAGAUUAUGUAGUACAUAGGAGACACAAAAAGCUUAUUUAAAAGUCGUGCGCUUCUGUAGGUUACUUGCACAAGUAGUUAAUUAGAUCGGAGAAGCUGAGGUGCGAAGGGCACCUGUAUUAGAAGUCGAAGAAGCCAACCCAUUAGUAGCUCAUGGAUGUCAACUAGAAGUUGGUAACCUUCAAAUCAAGGAGGGCUGCUGGAAAAUUGAAGAUAAUUGAAGAUGAGUCUCUGCUUGGAGGAAGUAAUCCGUAGAAGUACUCGUAAUUCCAGCUCUUGACCUCUAAGCGGAGAAGAAGCGAGCUUCACCAUCCCAACUAUCCUCAUGUCUGCAAGGCGAUGGCUCCUAGACAGUGAAGUUUAAGGGUAUGAAGUUAGGUUUAACAACAAUUAUUAGCUGGAUGAAAAUAUUAAUCAAAGAUGGAAUUUCUUUAUGGAUGAAGUAUGAUGGAUGAUAACUUAUAUUGGAUGAUUUUUUGUUAAAAUAAUAAUAAUAAUAAAUAAUAAAAAUAAAAAUAAUAAUUAAUGAGAUGAAAUUAAAUUAACAAAUAUAAAAUAAGUGAAUUAAGAAUUAAAAUAAAGAACUUAGUAUAUGCAUGUUGUAAGAAAAUUAU